CUAGAUACUCAUGCUUUAAUUCCUUCAUAUCUCAAAAAUACAACACUCAAAAACCAUGAAUUUUUCAUAUACAAUUUUUUAACAUGGUCAUCUAUAUUUAUAAUAAAAAAUUGAACAAAAAAUUUGCGAAAUAGUCAAGAUAUGGCAAAAAUUGAAACUUCUAUUAAAAACAACUAAAUUACAAAUCUCAGUUUUGAAAUCUAACUUCCAACAAUACUUUUUUCUUUGUUCUAAAAUGAAACAUAUUAAUGUUUUUAUGUAAAAUUUAGCUCUUUAAGUCAGCUUUUAAAUCUCACUUUUUAAUUCUUCAAAGCUUUCCUAAAACUCUUUAUAUUCUCAAAAGAGUAGUACUAUGUAUCCAAAUCACAC
RNAcentral lists this long non-coding RNA (369 nucleotides) under Physcomitrium patens. RNAcentral describes it as "long non-coding RNA (PPAT_LNC005318)". The record is from RNAcentral. Lineage: Eukaryota; Viridiplantae; Streptophyta; Bryopsida; Funariales; Funariaceae.